ACCUAAAGUAAACUAAGUACAUCAUACUAAUACCACAUCCCUUUAGAGCAAUUCAAAUGAGGUACAGCCCAUUUGAUGCCGGAUACAACCCCCACUAACGGGUAAUUUUCUAAUCACACCUUAAAGUCGACUUAAGAGCAGCCAUCUUUUAAAAAGCGUCAAAGCUUAACCCUGUCUUAAAAAAUUUAGAAACUCACACCGACCCCUUUAACUGUACUAAGAACUUCUAUAAUCCUAUAGAAUAUUUUAUGCUAAAACUAGUAACAAGAGGAAACCCCUCUCCUUAAUGCAAGUCUGAGCCAGCAAGAACCCCUCACUGGCAAUUAACAUACGUAAGUAGUAACUUCUCCCAAGAAAACCCCACUUCCAACACUGUCAACCUAACACCAGAGCAUAUCAAGAAAGAUUAAAAGAAAAAGAAGGAACUCAGCAAAUAUAAAUCCCGCCUGUUUACCAAAAACAUCGCCUCUUGAUACCAUAAGAGGUCCAGCCUGCCCAGUGAUUUUAUUCAACGGCCGCGGUAUUCUAACCGUGCAAAGGUAGCGUAAUCACUUGUUUUCUAAAUAAAGACCAGUAUGAAAGGCAUCACGAAGACUUAACUGUCUCCUUUCUUCAAUCAGUGAACCUAAUCUCCCCGUGAAAAAGCAGGGAUCACACUAUAAGACGAGAAGACCCCGUGGAGCUUAAAACAUCACAACACUGCCACUAUAUUAAAUCACCCCGAUGAAACUUCCCCCGAUGGCACCCUGAUUGUAUGCUUUCGGUUGGGGUGACCGCGUAGAAUAACCAAUCCUCCGCAAUGAGAAGGACUUCCCACCCUAAACAACAAGUCACAACUUUAUGUAUCAAAAAAUUGACAUCCAUUGACCCAAUAAAUUGAUUAACGAACCAAGUUACCCCGGGGAUAACAGCACAAUCCACUUUGAGAGCCCCUAUCGACAAGUGGGCUUAUGACCUCGAUGUUGGAUCGGGAUAUCCUAGUGGUGCAGCCGCUACUAAAGGUUCGUUUGUUCAACGAUUAAAAUCCCACGUGAUCUGAGUUCAGACCGGAGUAAUCCAGGUCAGUUUCUAUCUAUAAAGAGCUAAUUUCAGUACGAAAGGACCAAAAUAGCAUGGCCCAUGCCCCCAGCAAACCAUAAUUAACUAUUUCAGACCCCAACUUAAAAAAUAAUUAAUCUUCCCCAUCACUCUAAA
Molecule: ribosomal RNA, 1194 nt
Filed under: Pristimantis croceoinguinis (Santa Cecilia robber frog)
Lineage: Eukaryota; Metazoa; Chordata; Amphibia; Anura; Strabomantidae
Description: partial 16S ribosomal RNA
Rfam family: Bacterial large subunit ribosomal RNA
Source: RNAcentral